UUGGAAGCAGCCAUUCAUUUAAAGAGUGCGUAACAGCUCACUAGUCGAGGAGUUUGGCGUGGAUAAUAAUCGGGCAUCAAGUAUCUUACCGAAGCUAUGGGAUCAUUAAUGAUCGGUAGGGGAGCAUUCCACUCUGCGUCGAAGGUGAAGCGUGAGCUUUGCUGGAGCGUGUGGAAAAGCAAAUGUAGGUAUAAGUAACGAUAAAGGGGGUGAGAAACCCCCUCGCCGAAAGACUAAGGUUUCCUGAUCAACGCUAAUCGGAUCAGGGUCAGUCGGGUCCUAAGGCUCAGCCGAACGGCGAGGCCGAUGGCAGAACCGGUUAAUAUUCCGGUACUACCCUUUAGGGUGACGUGGAGACGCAGUCGUGACAAUGCCGCCAGCUGACGGAAUAGCUGGUUAAAGGGUGUAGAAGUUGAUUGUGGCAGGCAAAUCCACCACAAGAUUCGAACCUGACAGUAUGGAGCGUCCUUCCGGACAAUCCAACAGUGCAUGUAAUCAUACUGCCAAGAAAAUCCGCUAAACAUAACCUUCAGGGUACCCGUACCGCAAACGGACACACGUAGUCGGGUUGAAUAUACUAAGGCGCUUGAGUGAUUCACGGUUAAGGAACUAGGCAAAUUGACCCUGUAACUUCGGGAUAAAGGGUCCCAACGAGAGUUGGGCGCAGAGAAUAGGUCCAGGCAACUGUUUAACAAAAACACAGGGCUGUGCCAAAUUGAAAGAUUACGUAUACAGCCUGACACCUGCCCGGUGCUGGAAGGUUAAGAGGAGAUGUCAUCGCAAGAGAAGCAUUGAAUUGAAGCCCCAGUAAACGGCGGCCGUAACUAUAACGGUCCUAAGGUAGCGAAAUUCCUUGUCGGGUAAGUUCCGACCUGCACGAAUGGUGUAAUGAUCUGGACACUGUCUCAACCGUGAGCUCAGUGAAAUUGUAGUAUCGGUGAAGAUGCCGAUUACCCGCGAUGGGACGAAAAGACCCCGUGAACCUUUACUAUAGCUUAACAUUGAAUUUGGGUAAUUGAUGUGUAGGAUAGGCCGGAGACUUUGAAGCGCAGACGCCAGUUUGUGUGGAGUCGCUGUUGAAAUACGGCCCUUUGAUUAUUUGAGUUCUAACCCGUUGUAACGGGGACACUGUUUGGUGGGUAGUUUGACUGGGGUGGUCGCCUCCAAAAGUGUAACGGAGGCUUCUAAAGGUGCCCUCAGGACGAUUGGUAACCGUCCGUAGAGUGUAAUGGCAUAAGGGCGCUUGACUGGGAGACAUACAAGUCGAUCAGGUAGGAAACUAGAGCAUAGUGAUCCGGUGUUUCCGCAUGGAAGGGACAUCGCUCAAAGGAUAAAAGGUACUCCGGGGAUAACAGGCUGAUC
RNAcentral lists this ribosomal RNA (1362 nucleotides) under human gut metagenome. Its description in RNAcentral is "bacterial LSU rRNA". It matches the Rfam family "Bacterial large subunit ribosomal RNA", at positions 1106 to 2487 of the family's 2925-position model. The record is from RNAcentral.